RNAcentral lists this ribosomal RNA (497 nucleotides) under uncultured bacterium. RNAcentral's name for it is "partial 16S ribosomal RNA". It matches the Rfam family "Bacterial small subunit ribosomal RNA", at positions 28 to 507 of the family's 1533-position model. The record is from RNAcentral.
GAUGAACGCUGGCGGCGUGCCUAAUACAUGCAAGUCGAGCGAACAGACGAGGAGCUUGCUCCUCUGACGUUAGCGGCGGACGGGUGAGUAACACGUGGAUAACCUACCUAUAAGACUGGGAUAACUUCGGGAAACCGGAGCUAAUACCGGAUAAUAUAUUGAACCGCAUGGUUCAAUAGUGAAAGACGGUUUUGCUGUCACUUAUAGAUGGAUCCGCGCCGCAUUAGCUAGUUGGUAAGGUAACGGCUUACCAAGGCAACGAUGCGUAGCCGACCUGAGAGGUUGAUCGGCCACACUGGAACUGAAACACGGUCCAGACUCCUACGGGGGGCAGCAGUAGGGAAUCUUGCGCAAUGGGCGAAAGCCUGACGGAGCAACGCCGCAUGGGUGAUGAAGGUAUUCGGAUCGUAAAACUCUGUUAUUAGGGAUGAACAAAUGUGUAAGUAACUAAGCACGUCUUGACGGUACCUAAUCAGAAAGCCACGGCUAACUACGUG